RNAcentral lists this ribosomal RNA (391 nucleotides) under uncultured bacterium. Its description in RNAcentral is "bacterial SSU rRNA". It matches the Rfam family "Bacterial small subunit ribosomal RNA", at positions 32 to 414 of the family's 1533-position model. The record is from RNAcentral.
AAUCAACGCUGGCGGCGUGCCUCAGACAUGCAAGUCGAACGCGAAAGUCCCCUUCGGGGAUGAUUAGAGUGGCGCACGGGUGAGUAACACGUAGGUAAUCUACCUUCGGGUGGGGAAGUAACUCAGGGAAACUUGAGCUAAUACCGCAUAAUGCAGCGGCACCACAUGGUGACAGUUGUUAAAGCAUUUAUGCGCUUGAAGAGGAGCCUGCGGCGGAUUAGCUAGUUGGUAAGGUAAUGGCUUACCAAGGCUACGAUCUGUAACCGGCCUGAGAGGGCGGACGGUCACACUGACACUGAAUAACGGGUCAGACUCCUACGGGAGGCAGCAGUCGGGAAUUUUGGGCAAUGGGCGAAAGCCUGACCCAGCAACGCCGCGUGAAGGAUGAAAU